RNAcentral lists this ribosomal RNA (427 nucleotides) under uncultured bacterium. RNAcentral describes it as "bacterial SSU rRNA". It matches the Rfam family "Bacterial small subunit ribosomal RNA", at positions 355 to 774 of the family's 1533-position model. The record is from RNAcentral.
UUAGGAAUAUUCGUCAAUGGAGGAAACUCUGAACGAGCAAUGCCGCGUGAAGGAUGACGGUCCUAUGGAUUGUAAACUUCUGUUGUUAGGGAAGAACGACCUAAGUAGGAAAUGACUUAGGAGUGACGGUACCUUUCAAGAAAGCUCCGGCUAACUACGUGCCAGCAGCCGCGGUAAUACGUAGGGAGCGAGCGUUAUCCGGAUUUAUUGGGUGUAAAGGGUGCGUAGGCGGCUUUAUAGGUCUGUGGUUUAAGUCCGAAGCUUAACUUCGGUUCGCCACAGAAACCGUUUAGCUUGAGUAUGGUAGAGGCAAGUGGAAUUUCUAGUGUAGCGGUUAAAUGCGUAGAUAUUAGAAGGAACACCAGUGGCGAAGGCGACUUGCUGGGCCAUCACUGACGCUGAGGCACGAAAGCGUGGGGAGCAAAUA